AUUGAACGCUGGCGGCAUGCCUUACACAUGCAAGUCGAACGGCAGCAUGAUCUAGCUUGCUUGAUUGAUGGCGAGUGGCGCACGGGUGUGUAAUACAUCUGAACGUGCCCUGUUGUGGGGAUAACUAGUCGAAAGAUUAGCUAAUACCGCAUACGACCUGCGGGUGAAAGUGGGGGACCGCAAGGCCUCAUGCUCUAGUAGCGGCCGAUGUCUGAUUAGCUAGUUGGUGAGGUAAAGGCUCACCAAGGCGACGAUCAGUAGCUGGUCUGAGAGGACGAUCAGCCACACUGGGACUGAGACACGGCCCAGACUCCGACGGGAGGCAGCAGGGGGGAAUUUUGGACAAUGGGCGAAAGCCUGAUCCAGCAAUGCGGCGGGUGUGAAGAAGGCCUUCGGGUGGUAAAGCAAUUUUGUCCGGAAAGAAAUGGCUCUGGUUAAUACCUGGGGUCGAUGACGGUACCGGAAGAAUAAGGACCGGCUAACUACGU
Molecule: ribosomal RNA, 488 nt
Filed under: uncultured bacterium
Lineage: Bacteria
Description: partial 16S ribosomal RNA
Rfam family: Bacterial small subunit ribosomal RNA
Source: RNAcentral